GCUUUGCUUUCUCGCUCUUUUGCUAUUUCUUACAGCCUUUUAAUGUUGCCCUACUAUAUUAGCUUCAAUACACUCUUACUCGUUUUAUUUAUUAUGGCAUAACUCGAUUAUAGGAAAAUCUCGUAUCUUCCUUUAGCAGCUCGAUUUAGCAAGAUCGCUGGUACUCUUUUAUGAGAUAAUCUCAUACUAACUUGCUUGAGCAAGCUCAAUCUCGCUCUAACCACUGUUUGCUUUCUUCACCCGG
RNAcentral lists this long non-coding RNA (244 nucleotides) under Vitis vinifera (wine grape). Its description in RNAcentral is "long non-coding RNA (VVIN_LNC007657)". The record is from RNAcentral. Lineage: Eukaryota; Viridiplantae; Streptophyta; Magnoliopsida; Vitales; Vitaceae.